Molecule: ribosomal RNA, 253 nt
Filed under: Leyella stercorea DSM 18206
Lineage: Bacteria; Pseudomonadati; Bacteroidota; Bacteroidia; Bacteroidales; Prevotellaceae
Description: Prevotella stercorea DSM 18206 partial 16S ribosomal RNA
Rfam family: Bacterial small subunit ribosomal RNA
Source: RNAcentral
UACGGAAGGUCCGGGCGUUAUCCGGAUUUAUUGGGUUUAAAGGGAGCGUAGGCCGUUUGGUAAGCGUGUUGUGAAAUGUCGGGGCUCAACCUGGGCAUUGCAGCGCGAACUGCCAGACUUGAGUGCGCAGGAAGUAGGUGGAAUUCGUCGUGUAGCGGUGAAAUGCUUAGAUAUGACGAAGAACUCCGAUUGCGAAGGCAGCCUGCUGUAGCGCAACUGACGCUGAAGCUCGAAAGCGUGGGUAUCGAACAGG